RNAcentral lists this ribosomal RNA (253 nucleotides) under uncultured bacterium. RNAcentral describes it as "partial 16S ribosomal RNA". It matches the Rfam family "Bacterial small subunit ribosomal RNA", at positions 524 to 776 of the family's 1533-position model. The record is from RNAcentral.
UACGUAGGCAGCGAGCGUUGUUCGGAAUUACUGGGCGUAAAGAGUGUGUAGGCGGUGUUCCCAGUCUGUUGUGAAAUCUCCCGGCUUAACUGGGAGGGUGCGCCGAAAACUGGGAGGCUGGAGUAUGGGAGAGGUAAGCGGAAUUCCUGGUGUAGCGGUGAAAUGCGUAGAUAUCAGGAGGAACACCUGCGGUGUAGACGGCUUACUGGACCAUAACUGACGCUGAGGCACGAAAGCGUGGGUAGCAAACAGG